AUGGCGCCUCGUCGCCGAGCAGGAGACCCACCACCCGUGUUUGACGACAUUGACUACUUAUCAAACUUCAGUCUUUGCAUCAAUUUUGGUGGUUACUUCCUUGGAGUUGGUAAAAAUCGUGCAUAUGUCAAUGGAGAAAACAUGUGGUAUGAUUAUGUGGAGGGGGAUACACUUACUGUGGAGAAGUUAGAAGAUCUGGUAGAAGAAUUGGGCUAUGAAGUGAAGGGAAGAUUGCAAAUGUAUUACUGCAUGCCUGGUAAACCAAUGACUGAAGGUGGUCUUGUGAAAAUAAACUGCAAUGACAACUGUCUUAACAUGAGGGCACAUGUAACAUUUGGG
RNAcentral lists this ribosomal RNA (339 nucleotides) under Triticum aestivum (bread wheat). RNAcentral describes it as "partial small subunit ribosomal RNA". The record is from RNAcentral. Lineage: Eukaryota; Viridiplantae; Streptophyta; Magnoliopsida; Poales; Poaceae.